Molecule: ribosomal RNA, 433 nt
Filed under: uncultured bacterium
Lineage: Bacteria
Description: partial 16S ribosomal RNA
Rfam family: Bacterial small subunit ribosomal RNA
Source: RNAcentral
AUCGAACGCUGGCGGCAGGCCUAACACAUGCAAGUCGAGCGAGGACUUCGGUUCUAGCGGCGGACGGGUGAGUAACGCGUGGGAAUGUGCCCUUCUCUACGGAAUAGCCCUGGGAAACUGGGAGUAAUACCGUAUACGCCCUAUUGGGGAAAGAUUUAUCGGAGAAGGAUCAGCCCGCGUUGGAUUAGGUAGUUGGUGGGGUAAUGGCCUACCAAGCCGACGAUCCAUAGCUGGUUUGAGAGGAUGAUCAGCCACACUGGGACUGAGACACGGCCCAGACUCCUACGGGAGGCAGCAGUGGGGAAUCUUAGACAAUGGGGGCAACCCUGAUCUAGCCAUGCCGCGUGAGUGAUGAAGGCCUUAGGGUUGUAAAGCUCUUUCAGCUGGGAAGAUAAUGACGAUACCAGCAGAAGAAGCCCCGGCUAACUCCGUG